GACGAACGCUGGCGGCGUGCCUAAUACAUGCAAGUCGAGCGAAGUUUUUCUGGUGCUUGCACUAGAAAAACUUAGCGGCGAACGGGUGAGUAACACGUAAAGAACCUGCCUCAUAGACUGGGACAACUAUUGGAAACGAUAGCUAAUACCGGAUAACAGUAUUUCUCGCAUGAGGGAUAUUUAAAAGUUGGUUAUGCUAACACUAUGAGAUGGCUUUGCGGUGCAUUAGCUAGUUGGUGGGGUAAAGGCCCACCAAGGCGACGAUGCAUAGCCGACCUGAGAGGGUGAUCGGCCACACUGGGACUGAGACACGGCCCAGACUCCUACGGGAGGCAGCAGUAGGGAAUCUUCCGCAAUGGGCGAAAGCCUGACGGAGCAACGCCGCGUGAGUGAAGAAGGAUUUCGGUUCGUAAAGCUCUGUUGUUAGGGAAGAAUGGAUAUGUAGUAACUAUACAUGUACGAGACG
RNAcentral lists this ribosomal RNA (466 nucleotides) under Gemella morbillorum. RNAcentral's name for it is "bacterial SSU rRNA". It matches the Rfam family "Bacterial small subunit ribosomal RNA", at positions 28 to 478 of the family's 1533-position model. The record is from RNAcentral. Lineage: Bacteria; Bacillati; Bacillota; Bacilli; Caryophanales; Gemellaceae.